GCUGAUAUAGCUCAGUCGGUAGAGCGCAUCCUUGGUAAGGAUGAGGUCGGCAGUUCGACUCUGCCUAUCAGCACCA
Molecule: transfer RNA, 76 nt
Filed under: Aeromonas schubertii
Lineage: Bacteria; Pseudomonadati; Pseudomonadota; Gammaproteobacteria; Aeromonadales; Aeromonadaceae
Description: tRNA-Thr
Rfam family: tRNA
About the family: Transfer RNA (tRNA) molecules are approximately 80 nucleotides in length. Their secondary structure includes four short double-helical elements and three loops (D, anti-codon, and T loops). Further hydrogen bonds mediate the characteristic L-shaped molecular structure. tRNAs have two regions of fundamental functional importance: the anti-codon, which is responsible for specific mRNA codon recognition, and the 3' end, to which the tRNAs corresponding amino acid is attached (by aminoacyl-tRNA synthetases). tRNAs cope with the degeneracy of the genetic code in two manners: having more than one tRNA (with a specific anti-codon) for a particular amino acid; and 'wobble' base-pairing, i.e. permitting non-standard base-pairing at the 3rd anti-codon position.
Source: RNAcentral